GCUCAGAGGAAGAACGGCGUGAAGAGUGAACGAGGGUCCUGCAGGAGUGUCCUCUCAGAUGCACGUCCUCCUCCUAAUGAGGGGCAGGACGGGGACACAAAGGGACGGAGUGAGGAGCACAGCCCAGUUUGAUCGCCGGGGACCAGAAACACACCGAGAGGUGUGAUGAUGAAAGGCGCUUCGUACCGGCUGCUGAUUUAGGAUUCAUUGGUGGUUUAAAUCCCCGAGGUGAAACUGAGACGUUAGUCUGUGACGGCGGUGGACCCUCCUGCCUCUUUGACGUUCGGCGUGGACCUUCUCCAGGAAAACACCUUCAUGUCCCAGCAGCUCCGCCUGAUUGGACCACAAAAGGUUCCUCUUCAUCAUCAAUUACCUGAUGGGUCCAGACCAGCUGCUUCUCUACUCCUCUUCCUCUCCAGUCCUCUCCAGAUCCUGGAUCCGUACGAGUCUAAAGCUGCCGUCGGUCCUUCGUGGUCUUCUGAACCCCAGGGGGCGCCUGCGGGGGGGCUCAGACCCCAGCUGGGACCUGUGGGUGUGGGGGGCACAGUGCUGAGGACCAGGCGGUUCGGGGUGGGGCUUUGACAGAAGCUGAAGUCCAGCUUCAGGGGGCUUUCGUGGCGGUGGAAGCUGAAGUCAGCGGAUGAGGAUCUGGGACUCGUCUCCUCGUCGAGUCUUUCAACGACCCUCCCGGCAGCCCCCGCUCUGCUUCGGAGGGUCUGCUUUGCUUCUGUCCAGCUGCUCUGGGGGUGAACAUCUGGGCUGCCAAAGGAGCCGCUUAGGAGGUCCAGUUUGAAUGCUGCAGAUUCUGGGUCUCGCCUGCAGAAAAGGUCCUCAGCUCUGCCAGCUUCACACAGGA
Oryzias latipes (Japanese medaka) is the source of this 856-nucleotide non-coding RNA. Lineage: Eukaryota; Metazoa; Chordata; Actinopteri; Beloniformes; Adrianichthyidae. The record is from RefSeq and is a predicted model, not a curated record.